Molecule: ribosomal RNA, 860 nt
Filed under: Gibellula pulchra
Lineage: Eukaryota; Fungi; Ascomycota; Sordariomycetes; Hypocreales; Cordycipitaceae
Description: SSU rRNA
Rfam family: Eukaryotic small subunit ribosomal RNA
Source: RNAcentral
UCAUAUGCUUGUCUCAAAGAUUAAGCCAUGCAUGUCUGGGUAUAAGCAAUUAUACAGCGAAACUGCGAAUGGCUCAUUAUAUAAGUUAUCGUUUAUUUGAUAGUACCUUACUACUUGGAUAACCGUGGUAAUUCUAGAGCUAAUACAUGCUGCCAACCCCGACUCCGGAAGGGGCGUAUUUAUUAGAUCCAAAGCCAACGCCCUCCUGGGGCUCCUUGGUGAUUCAUGAUAACUCUUCGAAUCGCACGGCCUUGCGCCGGCGAUGGUUCAUUCAAAUUUCUUCCCUAUCAACUUUCGAUGUUUGGGUAUUGGCCAAACAUGGUCGCAACGGGUAACGGAGGGUUAGGGCUCGACCCCGGAGAAGGAGCCUGAGAAACGGCUACUACAUCCAAGGAAGGCAGCAGGCGCGCAAAUUACCCAAUCCCGACACGGGGAGGUAGUGACAAUAAAUACUGAUACAGGGCUCUUUAGGGUCUUGUAAUUGGAAUGAGUACAGUUUAAACCCCUUAGCGAGGAACAAUUGGAGGGCAAGUCUGGUGCCAGCAGCCGCGGUAAUUCCAGCUCCAAUAGCGUAUAUUAAAGUUGUUGUGGUUAAAAAGCUCGUAGUUGAACCUUGGGCCUGGCUGGCCGGUCCGCCUCACCGCGUGCACUGGUCCGGCCGGGCCUUUCCCUCUGCGGAACCCCAUGCCCUUCGCUGGGCGUGGCGGGGAGGCAGGACGUUUACUUUGAAAAAAUUAGAGUGCUCAAGGCAGGCCUAUGCUCGGAUACAUUAGCAUGGAAUAAUGAAACAGGACGCGCGGUUCCGUUUCGUUGGCUCUAGGGACCGCCGUAAUGAUCGAUAGGGACAGUCGGGGGCAUCA